RNAcentral lists this ribosomal RNA (380 nucleotides) under uncultured eukaryote. Its description in RNAcentral is "partial 18S ribosomal RNA". It matches the Rfam family "Eukaryotic small subunit ribosomal RNA", at positions 592 to 976 of the family's 1831-position model. The record is from RNAcentral.
CAAUAGCGUAUAUUAAAGUUGUUGCAGUUAAAAAGCUCGUAGUUGGAUUUGUGGCGUACGGUGGGUUCCGGGCACUUGUUGUCCGAGUAACUUGCUGUUGCCAUCCUUGGGUGGAACCUGUGUGGCAUUAGGUUGUCGUGCAGGGGAUGCCCAUCAUUUACUGUGAAAAAAUUAGAGUGUUCAAAGCAGGCUUAUGCCGUUGAAUAUAUUAGCAUGGAAUAAUGAGAUAGGACUUUUUUGCUAUUUUGUUGGUUUGCGCAAAGAGGUAAUGAUUAAUAGGGACAGUUGGGGGUAUUCGUAUUCCAUUGUCAGAGGUGAAAUUCUUGGAUUUUUGGAAGACGAACUACUGCGAAAGCAUUUACCAAGGAUGUUUUCAUUAA